RNAcentral lists this unclassified non-coding RNA (380 nucleotides) under uncultured bacterium. RNAcentral describes it as "contains 16S-23S intergenic spacer region". The record is from RNAcentral.
UCCGGCUUGUCACCGGCAGUCCCUCUAGAGUGCCCAACUAAAUGAUGGCAACUAAAGGCGAGGGUUGCGCUCGUUGCGGGACUUAACCCAAUAUCUCACGACACGAGCUGACGACAGCCAUGCAGCACCUGUGCUGGCCACCCUUGCGGGUUCAUUGCCGUUUCCGGUUCUUACUACCAGCAUGUCAAACCUGGGUAAGGUUCUUCGCGUUGCGUCGAAUUAAACCACAUGCACCACCGCUUGUGCGGGCCCCCGUCAAUUUCUUUGAGUUUUAAUCUUGCGACCGUACUUCCCAGGCGGCACGUUUAACGCGUUAGCUUCGCCACAAAAGGGGUCGAUUCCUUUUACAGCAAACGUGCACCGUUUAGGGCUAGGACUAC